Molecule: ribosomal RNA, 253 nt
Filed under: uncultured bacterium
Lineage: Bacteria
Description: partial 16S ribosomal RNA
Rfam family: Bacterial small subunit ribosomal RNA
Source: RNAcentral
UACGUAGGUGGCAAGCGUUGUCCGGAUUUACUGGGCGUAAAGAGCGCGCAGGCGGUCGUACAAGUCGCGUGUGAAAGCCCCCGGCUCAACUGGGGAGGGUCACGCGAUACUGCUCGACUCGAAGGCAGGAGAGGGAAGUGGAAUUCCCGGUGUAGUGGUGAAAUGCGUAGAUAUCGGGAGGAACACCAGUGGCGAAGGCGACUUCCUGGCCUGUUCUUGACGCUGAGGCGCGAAAGCUAGGGUAGCAAACGGG